This 400-nucleotide unclassified non-coding RNA is filed under the name uncultured fungus. RNAcentral's name for it is "sequence contains ITS1". The stretch from base 1 to 105 matches the Rfam family "5.8S ribosomal RNA", at positions 50 to 154 of the family's 154-position model. Lineage: Eukaryota; Fungi. The record is from RNAcentral.
GAAAUGCGAUACGUAAUGCGAAUUGCAGAAUUCAGUGAAUCAUCAAAUCUUUGAACGCAAAUUGCGCUCUCGGGUACCCCUGGGAGCACGCCUCUUUGAGUAUCGGUUCUACCUCAUCUCGACAGCGUACUGUAACAAGUAUUGUGUAGUCGGAAAAUGAGUUGUCUCAGUUAACUUUGAGUUUUUCACAAGACUCGUGAGUCAUUCUGAGUCACUUUAAAAUCAGAGAAGAAUUGACCUUCCCACUAAAUUGGGGGAUGACGCAAGAUAAUUCACUCUUCGAGUGUUUAAACCUUCGUCGCUCCUAAGGGAAGUGAUGUUUUGAUCCAGGAAUUUCCAUCAAAUUUCACGCAAGUGAAAUGUACCGGAAACACCACCUCAGAAUAAGAUCUCAGAUGAA